GUGGGGAAUCUUCCGCAAUGGACGAAAGUCUGACGGAGCAACGCCGCGUGAGUGAUGAAGGUCUUCGGAUUGUAAAGCUCUGUUAAUCGGGACGAAAGAGCCUAGUGUGAAUAAUGCUAGGAAGUGACGGUACCGGAAUAGAAAGCCACGGCUAACUACGUGCCAGCAGCCGCGGUAAUACGUAGGUGGCAAGCGUUGUCCGGAAUUAUUGGGCGUAAAGCGCGCGCAGGCGGAUCUGCCAGUCUGUCUUAAAAGUUCGGGGCUUAACCCCGUGAUGGGAUGGAAACUACAGAUCUAGAGUAUCGGAGAGGAAAGUGGAAUUCCUAGUGUAGCGGUGAAAUGCGUAGAUAUUAGGAAGAACACCAGUGGCGAAGGCGACUUUCUGGACGAAAACUGACGCUGAGGCGCGAAAGCCAGGGGAGCGAACGGGAUUAGAUACCCGGGUAGGCC
RNAcentral lists this ribosomal RNA (450 nucleotides) under uncultured bacterium. RNAcentral describes it as "partial 16S ribosomal RNA". It matches the Rfam family "Bacterial small subunit ribosomal RNA", at positions 354 to 796 of the family's 1533-position model. The record is from RNAcentral.